UCGAACGAUGAAGCCCUUCGGGGUGGAUUAGUGGCGAACGGGUGAGUAACACGUGGGCAAUCUGCCCUUCACUCUGGGACAAGCCCUGGAAACGGGGUCUAAUACCGGAUACCACUCCUGCCCGCAUGGGUAGGGGUUGAAAGCUCCGGCGGUGAAGGAUGAGCCCGCGGCCUAUCAGCUUGUUGGUGGGGUAAUGGCCCACCAAGGCGACGACGGGUAGCCGGCCUGAGAGGGCGACCGGCCACACUGGGACUGAGACACGGCCCAGACUCCUACGGGAGGCAGCAGUGGGGAAUAUUGCACAAUGGGCGAAAGCCUGAUGCAGCGACGCCGCGUGAGGGAUGACGGCCUUCGGGUUGUAAACCUCUUUCAGCAGGGAAGAAGCGAAAGUGACGGUACCUGCAGAAGAAGCGCCGGCUAACUACGUGCCAGCAGCCGCGGUAAUACGUAGGGCGCAAGCGUUGUCCGGAAUUAUUGGGCGUAAAGAGCUCGUAGGCGGCUUGUCACGUCGGAUGUGAAAGCCCGAGGCUUAACCUCGGGUCUGCAUUCGAUACGGGCUAGCUAGAGUGUGGUAGGGGAGAUCGGAAUUCCUGGUGUAGCG
This 601-nucleotide ribosomal RNA is filed under the name Streptomyces lavendulae. RNAcentral describes it as "bacterial SSU rRNA". It matches the Rfam family "Bacterial small subunit ribosomal RNA", at positions 62 to 680 of the family's 1533-position model. Lineage: Bacteria; Bacillati; Actinomycetota; Actinomycetes; Kitasatosporales; Streptomycetaceae. The record is from RNAcentral.